This 490-nucleotide ribosomal RNA is filed under the name uncultured bacterium. Its description in RNAcentral is "partial 16S ribosomal RNA". It matches the Rfam family "Bacterial small subunit ribosomal RNA", at positions 29 to 505 of the family's 1533-position model. The record is from RNAcentral.
AGUGAACGCUGGCGGUAGGCCUAACACAUGCAAGUCGAACGGCAGCACAGUAAGAGCUUGCUCUUAAGGGUGGCGAGUGGCGGACGGGUGAGGAAUACAUCGGAAUCUACUUUUUCGUGGGGGAUAACGUAGGGAAACUUACGCUAAUACCGCAUACGACCUACGGGUGAAAGCAGGGGAUCUUCGGACCUUGCGCGAUUGAAUGAGCCGAUGUCGGAUUAGCUAGUUGGCGGGGUAAAGGCCCACCAAGGCGACGAUCCGUAGCUGGUCUGAGAGGAUGAUCAGCCACACUGGAACUGAGACACGGUCCAGACUCCUACGGGAGGCAGAAGUGGGGAAUAUUAGACAAUGGGCGCAAGCCUGAUCCAGCCAUACCGCGUGGGUGAAGAAGGCCUUCGGGUUGUAAAGCCCUUUUGUUGGGAAAGAAAAGCAGCAGGUUAAUACCCCGCUGUUCUGACGGUACCCAAAGAAUAAGCACCGGCUAACUUCG